GGACUACUGGGGUAUCUAAUCCUGUUUGAUCCCCACGCUUUCGCGCCUCAGCGUCAGUUGUGUGCCAGAUAGCCGCCUUCGCCACCGGUGUUCCUCCUAAUAUCUACGAAUUUCACCUCUACAUUAGGAAUUCCGCUAUCCCCUCACACACUCCAGCAAUGCAGUUUCAAAGGCAGUUCCGGAGUUAAGCUCCGGGAUUUCACCCCUGACUUGCAUCACCGCCUACGCGCGCUUUACGCCCAGUAAUUCCGAACAACGCUAGCACCCUUCGUAUUACCGCGGCGGCUGGCAC
Molecule: ribosomal RNA, 292 nt
Filed under: uncultured Alphaproteobacteria bacterium
Lineage: Bacteria; Pseudomonadati; Pseudomonadota; Alphaproteobacteria
Description: partial 16S ribosomal RNA
Source: RNAcentral